CGACCUCGUGCGGGAGAGACCCCUGAUCUUGAAGGGGCGCCGAAGGAGCAAACCUCCCCGGAAUCUCUCAGGCAUCCGUACCGCACGGACGAG
This 93-nucleotide non-coding RNA is filed under the name Microbispora rosea. RNAcentral's name for it is "Glycine sequence". It matches the Rfam family "Glycine riboswitch aptamer". From Rfam's summary of the family: This family represents the bacterial glycine riboswitch. The record is from RNAcentral. Lineage: Bacteria; Bacillati; Actinomycetota; Actinomycetes; Streptosporangiales; Streptosporangiaceae.